CGGGCCCAGAUUACAAAAAAAAUAAAAUAAAAAAUUAAAUAAAAUAGUAAUAAAAAUAGUCCAGUUACAAAAAUGUUAGGCCCAAAUUUAUAGGCUUAAAUGGCCCAAAACAAACAAAAACCCUAAAGCCCAUGACCCAAUUUUUUUUAGAAAAUUAAGAAACCCUAAUUCCUCUCUCGCAACACUCCUCGUGCUGUGUCAGUGUGCUCGCCGCCCGAAGCCUGCCACCCCUAUUGUCGUUGCACCAAAAUGGCAAAGGUGCACGUCCCAUUGCCCUCUGUUGACCGCGCUGACACUUGUAAAAAGGAUGAAAAAAGGAUAGAAACGGUAGCAGUGCAAAAACAAAAAAGAAAAGAAAAAAAAAUGUUGUAAUUUAAAACGACUAUAAAGGCCGAUUUCUUGUAAGAUUCAAAGGGACUUCUUUUUUAAAAAAGAAAAAAUCAAAUUCAAACACAAAAAAGGUAAAUUACUUUAUUUAUUUUUUAAUUCGUAAAAUAAGAAAAUAAUAAUAAAAAUAAAGUCCAUCACCUGUCUACUCGUGUCGCGCCACCAUCGGAGGUCCCCUUCAGUUACGAGAGUCGCCGAACCCAUUAGGGUAUCGUUUGGGCUUCGUAAAAAGGGGGAUACGAGAGGGAAAAUUGGCAGAAAAAGGGCAGAGGCUGAAUUUCAUUUCGUUCUUUUUUCUAUUUUUUAGGCAUUUGCCUUUAGAUCUAAAAUCUAGGUUUAAAAAUGGGCAAAAAGAGAUUUUUUUUUUGAAAUUCUAGCCACUGGAGGUGACAGUCGUCGUCACCGCUGACUGGUGGCCACGACGGAAAAUACGACGGCCUUAUGGCCAAAGAGGGAAAGGGUUUCGAGAGAAAAAAUAAGAGAAAGAAAAAAAA
Molecule: long non-coding RNA, 881 nt
Filed under: Gossypium barbadense (sea-island cotton)
Lineage: Eukaryota; Viridiplantae; Streptophyta; Magnoliopsida; Malvales; Malvaceae
Description: long non-coding RNA (GBAR_LNC017757)
Source: RNAcentral